UCACUGCCCUUCUAUGAAAAAUGUGGCAAAAAAAAUGAUACAUUCAAAUAAAAAGUCAAAUAACAUAUUGAUUACAGCAUUACCAAAGAACAAAACAUAUUAGCAAUAUCAAAAUUCAUCCAAAUUAAGCAAAACUCAUGAAAGAAGUAAAAAAAAUCUUUAAACACUUACGCCUAAUCCCAUUUUGUCUUUUUAAUUUAUUCAAUGUUCAGCAGGGAUUUUCCUAUUCCAGUCCUCUGGAGACAUAUGAAAGCUCCCGCUGUUCACAAACGUGCUCACAAACCUUUAUAUCCCACUUGCUCACCUGCCUGCAGGGGAGGAGAUUUGAGUAAACUUGGACAGGAUUGGCAGAUGUGUUUUUUUUUUUUUAAUUUAUAAUGUAUGAUCUAUUUAACCUUCAUUCCCACAUUUGAACUUUCAAGGACAACCACUAACAAAGGACAACCAAAGUCCUUUUCUGUAAAAGUCUACCUAGUUUUAUGAAGUGCUAUUGCCAAAGAGUCUGUAAAUCAUUUACAAACACAUACACCUAUAUAUUGACUGUACUAUAUUGCUUGUACUUAACUGCUGUUUCCUCUUUAUUUAAACUUUUCUUUAGGAAUAUUACAGAAAACACUUUCCCAUCCCUGGAAACCAUCAACAAAAUCUCACUCCACUAUAAUUAAAGUUGAGGGAAUAGUAAAUCAUGAACGCCUACCUUGGCUCACAGGUCCUAGAUCAUGUUUAGUAAACGGCUGGCUGUUUGUUGUGAGAUGGUGCAGAAUAGCUAAGAUAAGAGCAGUCAUUCUGAUGUACUUCCCAGGAUCCCACGAUUCUCACAUUCUUUUCAGCACAGUAUAAAUUUGGCUGCCAAAACGUCAAUUUGCAUGUGAAUUCACCUGAAACAUCUCUCCCACCAUUUACAAAUAGUGUGUCAUGUUAGAUACCUGACAGACUGUAAGAAACUCUGUAUUACUGAAUUACCUGGUACUGCAAGAACUGAAACACAUACAUAUGAAAGGGAUCUAAACAAUGACCAUUCAGUUGGCUGAAAUGCAGAUUGCAGGUAUAUCAGCUUGUCUUUAACACCGAGAGCAGCUUUUAAAAAUUAUUUCACCUUGUUAAAGAUUAAAAUAGGUAUUGUCCCACAUAGUUACAUUUUAAUAAACGGUAUUUCUUACUCUCAUAAAACUCCAACAUUUAUUAACUUGGAACUGCCUGAGGGAGAGAGUGAGAGCCAUUAUAGUGGAAGAACCAGUUUUAUGCAAGCAAGUGAAACAGACAAGACAAGUAACAAUACACUCGAGCACAAGAAUUUCACUGCAGAUAGGUUAAUAAUAAUGUCGGAUUGCCAGGUAUCUAACUGGUUCCGGAAUAGAACAGUGUAUCCACUCCCCUUAAAAGUGUUUUAAGGGUGUCUUAACAAGUACAUCCACACAUGUAUACAUUUACUAAUCUCAAUUAUGAACAAUGAAUGAAUAAAGAAAACCACACAGACUGAUCUUAUAUGAACUUCGUAACAAUUAAAACAUGCACUGGAUAUUGAAUUUGUUUUCAUAUUACAACUAGUACAAAUGCAAAUCCUGUGACAUUAACCUUUGUAAAUGUUUAUAUGAAUUGAGUAAUGUGCUUUGUUUCAAAUUUCAAGCCAUGAAGAAAGAAACAGCUUUUAGUAUCUCAUUGUUUUGAAUCUUAGGUACAAUCAUCUUUAUGUUUUCGAUUAAUCUAAAUAUUUCACUAAUUUUACCUAAUUAUAAUCUCUUUUUUUUACACUAGGUCUGAUGUGUUACAGCAGGGAAAUCUGCCACAGGACCUUGGAAACUUGCAGUCAUUGAGAUAAUGAGAGACAAGGAUGAACUCCACUUUAUACCAGAAUAUUCUUCAGACAAAUGUGAGGCCUUCUGUCCAGCUUAAGCUGGGGCAAAAUUGGGUCACACAACAGGACAGUGAUCCCAAUCACACCAGCAAAUCGACAUCUGAAUGGCUAAGGAAAAAUCAAGGUGUUGGAAUGUCCAAGUGAAAGCCCAGACCUCAACCCCAUUGAGAUGUUGUGGUGGGAUCUUAAGAGAGCUGUGCAUAAACAAAUGCCCUUAAACAUCAAUAAACUGAAUAAAUUGUAAAGAAGAGUUGGUCAAAUGUCUUCAAAAGGAAGUGAGAGACUGGUAAACUACUAUAAAAAAUGUUUACUUCAAGUCGUUGUUCCUAAAAGUUACUGAAUUUUACUGAAGGUUCCUAUAUGUUUCUGAAUUACAGGGCAUACUUAUUUUUCCCACCCGGUUUCUGAAUGUUGAUUUACUUUUUGGGAA
Molecule: long non-coding RNA, 2285 nt
Organism: Ictalurus punctatus (channel catfish)
Lineage: Eukaryota; Metazoa; Chordata; Actinopteri; Siluriformes; Ictaluridae
Exons: 2
Source: RefSeq, a predicted model, not a curated record